Molecule: ribosomal RNA, 371 nt
Filed under: uncultured organism
Description: partial 16S ribosomal RNA
Rfam family: Bacterial small subunit ribosomal RNA
Source: RNAcentral
GGAGGGUGCAAGCGUUAAUCGGAAUUACUGGGCGUAAAGCGCGCGUAGGCGGCCAAUCAAGUUGGAUGUGAAAGCCCUGGGCUUAACCUGGGAACUGCAUUCAAAACUAGUUGGCUAGAGUACAGUAGAGGUGAGUGGAAUUUCCGGUGUAGCGGUGAAAUGCGUAGAUAUCGGAAGGAACACCAGUGGCGAAGGCGACUCACUGGACUGAUACUGACGCUGAGGUGCGAAAGCGUGGGGGAGCAAACAGGAUUAGAGACCCUGGUAGUCCACGCCGUAAACGAUGAGAACUAGCUGUUGGGGUGCGUUGACACCUUAGUAGCGAAGCUAACGCGAUAAGUUCUCCGCCUGGGAGUACGGUCGCAAGAUUA